Long non-coding RNA from Argentina anserina (silverweed cinquefoil), 1651 nucleotides. RefSeq lists it as uncharacterized. NCBI's taxonomy places the organism in Eukaryota, Viridiplantae, Streptophyta, Magnoliopsida, Rosales, Rosaceae. The record is from RefSeq and is a predicted model, not a curated record. The transcript has 6 exons.
CAUAAUCCUUGCCCAAUUGUUGCCUUGGCGACAUAUAUGUGUAGCUUCCGUCCCAAUAUAACCCCCAUCCCCCAUGACGAAAUCAGCUCUCUCUCUCUCUACCCCCAGAUUUCAAAUACUGAAUUCCUUCGAACCCAAAUCAUUAGUACCCGAAUCUCUAUGCUUCGUUUUCCUCGAUCUUCCUUCCUACUCUUCCAAUCUUGAAGUCCUAGAUUCAAUUUUGCACUUUCACUUAUUUUCGUUGAAGAGAUCUGUCCAAGAGGGAUUUCAAUCAAAGAUCUACUUUGCAGCUGGGUUUUAUAGAGAUGGGUUUCGAGCCUCCUUCUCCAACUAUUACAACUGAGGAAAUCACCCCCCUCCCCACUUCCAUGGACACAGAGAUGAGUACGCCACCACCGAUACGUCGCCAUUAUGAGAUUCAAGUUUUGAUUUUUAUGACUAACUGGGAUUUUAAAAUUUUCAGAUUGAUAAUAAUGCGGUCGCGAAUUGGGUUCUAGAUCGGGUUUUGUCAUAGCAAGCUCACCCUAGAGACGUUGAUGAAGUCAACGAUGGGAAAUUUUAUGGAUUUUAUGGUUUUAGAAGCUCAGAAGUGCAGUGGCUUGUUCUCUCGAAAAAGUGAAGCAUGUCGACAACAAAAACUGUGAAGGACGUCUCACCGCACGCGUUCGUGAAGCUUACGUGGCUCAUCUGAAGAGAUGGGGCAAGGUGGAACCAAUGAGAAGGCCGUUGCAUGAUUACAUGGAGAAGGUCUAGAAAGGAUUCGAUCAAUGCGACUAUGAGAGGUGUUCUUGUGAAUUGGUUUGUGGAGGUUCAAGAUGAAUAUGAUCUCCUUUCAAAGACUCUUCAUCUCACUGUGUCUUAUGUCGAUAAGUAUCUAUCAAUGAAUAUGGUGCGAAAGAGUGAGCUUCAGUUAGUUGGGGUGGCUUCGAUCUUCAUUGUCUCGAAGUAUGAAGAGAUUGAUCCGCCAAAUGCAAAAGAGCUUUCUAAUAUUAUUGAAAAUACAUUCACUAAAACGCAAUUGAUCAAGAUGGAGGCUGAUAUACUUUUUUCUCUGAAAUUUGAAAUGGGAAAUCCCAAUGUCUGUACAUUCUUGAGGUAAUGAUGGUUCUGAUCAUCAAAGAAAUUUGAAAUGGGAAAUCCCAAUGUCCGUACAUUCUUGAGGUUGAGUCUGCUAGCUGUUCGAUCUCAAAAGACUUGGAAGAAUUGGAAUGCAUGGACGGUUGGAGAAGUGUAAUAUGUUUUUUUUACAUGGAGAAAUGGUCUGUUUAUGAAAUUACCAUAAGUGGGUUUUAGUCUUUUAUCAAUACAAGAAUCAGAAACCAAGCCGUAAGUCGAGCCGCAUGUGCUGGGCUAAUUUUUUUUUGUUGAAAAAUUAUAAAUUUGGGCACGGACAUGUAAAACCGUCCCCAAGUGCAUGAGACCCCGAAUGAGGAUGGUACAAAUAGAGACGGACAUACAUUUUCUCCCCAACCAUCAAUAGGGACUGAAUCCGUCUCCUAUAACGUUGGUAGGGACGGAAUUAUGUAUGUCUCCAUUAAACGAUUAGCUAGUAGUGAAUAAGCAUUCCAUGUAGUAAUCGGUUUACUAUUACUACUAGUGAUAGGUUUCCUAUUUUACUUAUGUUAUGUCCAUGUAAUCCUUUAUAUAAAGA